This 459-nucleotide ribosomal RNA is filed under the name uncultured bacterium. RNAcentral's name for it is "SSU rRNA". It matches the Rfam family "Bacterial small subunit ribosomal RNA", at positions 26 to 518 of the family's 1533-position model. The record is from RNAcentral.
AGAAUCAACGCUGGCGGCGUGCCUAACACAUGCAAGUCGAACGAGAAAGUGGAGCAAUCCAUGAGUAAAGUGGCGACCGGGUGAGUAACACGUGACUAACCUACCUUCGAGUGGGGGAUAACAUCGGGAAACCGAUGCUAAUACCGCAUAAUAUCGCAAGAUCAAAGCAGCAAUGCGCUGGAAGAGGGGGUCGCGGCUGAUUAGCUAGUUGGCGGGGUAACGGCCCACCAAGGCGAAGAUCGGUAGCCGGCCUGAGAGGGCGCACGGCCACACUGGAACUGAAACACGGUCCAGACUCCUACGGGAGGCAGCAGUGGGGAAUUUUGCGCAAUGGGGGAAACCCUGACGCAGCAACGCCGCGUGGAGGAUGAAGCCCCUUGGGCGUAAACUCCUUUCGACCAAGACGAUAAUGACGGUACUGGUGGAAGAAGCACCGGCUAACUCUGCGCCAGCAGCCGC